AUUUGAAGCAGCGACACGACUAAUCCGCUGCUUUCCUGAGAGAGAAUGCAGAUGUUUGAGAGCUCGGCUGCCUGAACUAAUGCGACGAAGCCCCGUAGUGUUCGGCGGCCGACUGUACGAAAUGGCUUUCUGAUAUGUGUAAUAUCUGAGUGCUUUGGGACAAAGUGGAUAUGAGAAAGAGAAAUAUGAAGAAAACAGGAGUAUUCGUCUUGGAAAUGGACGUCGGCGUUCAAAUCAAAUGGCCUUUUGUGUCGGAGACAACGGUGCGAGCUCGGUCAAAUGGAGCAAUUAGGAAAGAACGGCCGUCCUUCGUUGAGGACACGGCAGAAAGAGACGGGGUCGCGCUUCCAGUGAUUUGAGUUUAUUUAUGUGAUGCGUGUCGGCG
Long non-coding RNA from Gasterosteus aculeatus aculeatus (three-spined stickleback), 385 nucleotides. NCBI's taxonomy places the organism in Eukaryota, Metazoa, Chordata, Actinopteri, Perciformes, Gasterosteidae. The record is from Ensembl.